GAUUCAUGGCUCAGGAUGAACGCUAGCUACAGGCUUAACACAUGCAAGUCGAGGGGCAGCAUGACGGAAGCUUGCUUUCGUUGAUGGCGACCGGCGCACGGGUGAGUAACGCGUAUCCAACCUGCCCUUGUCCAUCGGAUAACCCGUCGAAAGGCGGACUAACACGAUAUGCAGUUCUCAGCAGGCAUCUAACGAGAACGAAAUGUGAAGGAGAAGGAUGGGGAUGCG
Molecule: ribosomal RNA, 228 nt
Filed under: uncultured bacterium
Lineage: Bacteria
Description: partial 16S ribosomal RNA
Rfam family: Bacterial small subunit ribosomal RNA
Source: RNAcentral